RNAcentral lists this ribosomal RNA (468 nucleotides) under uncultured bacterium. RNAcentral's name for it is "partial 16S ribosomal RNA". It matches the Rfam family "Bacterial small subunit ribosomal RNA", at positions 28 to 507 of the family's 1533-position model. The record is from RNAcentral.
GACGAACGCUGGCGGCGUGCUUAACACAUGCAAGUCGAACGGAAAGGCCCUGCUUUUGUGGGGUGCUCGAGUGGCGAACGGGUGAGUAACACGUGAGUAACCUGCCCUUGACUUUGGGAUAACUUCAGGAAACUGGGGCUAAUACCGGAUAGGAGCUCCUGCUGCAUGGUGGGGGUUGGAAAGUUUCGGCGGUUGGGGAUGGACUCGCGGCUUAUCAGCUUGUUGGUGGGGUAGUGGAUUACCAAGGCUUUGACGGGUAGCCGGCCUGAGAGGGUGACCGGCCACAUUGGGACUGAGAUACGGCCCAGACUCCUACGGGAGGCAGCAGGCGGGAAUAUUGCACAAUGGGCGGAAGCCUGAUGCAGCAACGCCGCGUGCGGGAUGACGGCCUUCGGGUUGUAAACCGCUUUCGCCUGUGACGAAGCGUGAGUGACGGUAAUGGGUAAAGAAGCACCGGCUAACUACGUG